RNAcentral lists this ribosomal RNA (484 nucleotides) under uncultured bacterium. RNAcentral's name for it is "partial 16S ribosomal RNA". It matches the Rfam family "Bacterial small subunit ribosomal RNA", at positions 30 to 507 of the family's 1533-position model. The record is from RNAcentral.
AUUGAACGCUGGCGGCAGGCCUAACACAUGCAAGUCGAGCGGAUGAAGGGAGCUUGCUCCUGGAUUCAGCGGCGGACGGGUGAGUAAUGCCUAGGAAUCUGCCUGGUAGUGGGGGAUAACGUCCGGAAACGGGCGCUAAUGCCGCAUACGUCCUGAGGGAGAAAGUGGGGGAUCUUCGGACCUCACGCUAUCAGAUGAGCCUAGGUCGGAUUAGCUAGUUGGUGGGGUAAAGGCCUACCAAGGCGACGAUCCGUAACUGGUCUGAGAGGAUGAUCAGUCACACUGGAACUGAGACACGGUCCAGACUACUACGGGAGGCAGCAGUGGGGAAUAUUGGACAAUGGGCGAAAGCCUGAUCCAGCCAUGCCGAGUGUGUGAAGAAGGUCUUCGGAUUGUAAAGCACUUUAAGUUGGGAGGAAGGGCAGUAAGUUAAUACCUUGCUGUUUUGACGUUACCAACAGAAUAAGCACCGGCUAACUUCGUG